RNAcentral lists this long non-coding RNA (749 nucleotides) under Physcomitrium patens. RNAcentral describes it as "long non-coding RNA (PPAT_LNC005938)". The record is from RNAcentral. Lineage: Eukaryota; Viridiplantae; Streptophyta; Bryopsida; Funariales; Funariaceae.
CUAAUUAGACCAUAAUAAUACUAAGUAAGCUUUAAUCAAAUUCAAAGAAACAUCAAAGGAAUUAUAAAGAAAUAAUAAAAAAUCUCAAAAAAAUAUUAAAUGAUUACAAACAUUUUUCAAAUACAUCUCAAUUCAAUCUUAAUUUAAUCCUAGUUGAAAUCCUAUUGGACUUCAUUCAAACUUUAGGCUAAAAACUAAUUAAAUCUUAAAUCCUAAAUAAAUUCAAAUAAAAUUCUAAAUCCUAAAUCAAAUCGUGAUCAAAUCCUAACCAAACCUUAAAUCCUAAACCAAACCCUAAAUCCUAAACCAAAUUCUAACCCUAAAUCAAAUCCUAACCAAAUCCUAAUCCUAACCAAAUCCUAACCCUAAAUCAAAUUCUAAUCAAAUCCUAAUCCUAAUCAAAUCCUAAUCCUAGCCAAAUCCUAAUCCUAACCAAAUCCUAAUCCUAAUCAAAUCCUAAUCCUAAAUCAAAUUCUAACCCUAAAUCAAAUUCUAAUCUUAAAUCAAACCCUAAACAAACCUAAAUAAAAUUCUAACCCUAAAUCAAAUACUAAAUCCUAAACCAAAUCCUAAUCCUAAAUCAAAUCCUAAUCAAAUCUUAAUCCUAAAUCAAACCCUAACCAUAUUUUACACCAAAUCCUAACCAAAUCCUAACCCUAAAUCAAAUCCUAAAUCAAAUCCUAAUCAAACUUUAAAUUCUAAACCAUAAUCUUAAAUCCUAAAUCAAAUCCUAAAUAGUAAAUCAAAUC